GGGGUGAAAAUGCCGCAGAGAUAUGGAGGGACACCAGUGGCGAAGCGACUUUNUGGUCUGUAACUGACGNUGAUGUGCGAAAGCNUGGGGAUCAAACAGGAUUAGAUACCCNUGGGUANUCCACNCCGUAAACGAUGAGUGCUAAGUGUUAGGGGGUUUCCGCCCCUUAGUGCUGCAGCUAACGCAUUAAGCACUCCGCCUGGGGAGUACGACCGCAAGGUUGAAACUCAAAGGAAUUGACCGGGGACCCGCACAAGCGGUGGAGCAUGUGGUUUAAUUCGAAGCAACGCGAAGAACCUUACCAAAUCUUGACAUCCUUUGACAACUCUAGAGAUAGAGCUUUCCCCUUCGGGGGACAAAGUGACAGGUGGUGCAUGGUUGUCGUCAGCUCGUGUCGUGAGAUGUUGGGUUAAGUCCCGCAACGAGCGCAACCCUUAAGCUUAGUUGCCAUCAUUAAGUUGGGCACUCUAAGUUGACUGCCGGUGACAAACCGGAGGAAGGUGGGGAUGACGUCAAAUCAUCAUGCCCCUUAUGAUUUGGGCUACACACGUGCUACAAUGGACAAUACAAAGGGCAGCGAAACCGCGAGGUCAAGCAAAUCCCAUAAAGUUGUUCUCAGUUCGGAUUGUAGUCUGCAACUCGACUACAUGAAGCUGGAAUCGCUAGUAAUCGUAGAUCAGCAUGCUACGGUGAAUACGUUCCCGGGUCUUGUACACACCGCCCGUCACACCACGAGAGUUUGUAACACCCGAAGCCCGGUGGAGUAACCAUUUGGAGNUAGCCGUCNAAGUGGACAAAUG
RNAcentral lists this ribosomal RNA (800 nucleotides) under Staphylococcus sp. nac_1. RNAcentral describes it as "bacterial SSU rRNA". It matches the Rfam family "Bacterial small subunit ribosomal RNA", at positions 676 to 1473 of the family's 1533-position model. The record is from RNAcentral. Lineage: Bacteria; Bacillati; Bacillota; Bacilli; Caryophanales; Staphylococcaceae.